GAUUCCCUUUAGUAACUGCGAGUGAAGAGGGAAAAGCUCAAAUUUAAAAUCUGGCAGUGUUUCACUGUCCGAGUUGUAACCUAGAGAAGUGUAACCUGUGCUGGACCGUGUACAAGUCUCCUGGAAUGGAGCAUCACAGAGGGUGAGAAUCCCGUCUUUGACAUGGACUACCAGUGCAUUGCGGUUGCGCUCUCAACGAGUCGAGUUGUUUGGGAAUGCAGCUCUAAAUGGGUGGUAAAUUCCAUCUAAAGCUAAAUAUUGGCGAGAGACCGAUAGCGAACAAGUACCGUGAGGGAAAGAUGAAAAGAACUUUGGAAAGAGAGUUAAACAGUAUGUGAAAUUGUUGAAAGGGAAACGUUUGAAGUCAGUCGCGUUGGUUGGGGAUCAGCCUGACAUUGUUGGGUGUAUUUCCUGGUCGACGGGCCAACAUCAGUUUUGACUGCCAGAAAAAGGCCAAAGGAAUGUGGCACCUUUGGGUGUGUUAUAGCCCUUGGUCGUAUAUGGUGGUUGGGACUGAGGAAAGCAGCGUGCCGAAAGGCCGGGUUUCGACCACGUUCACGCUGAGGAUGUUGGCAUAAUGGCUUUAAGCGACCCGUCUUGAAACACGGACCAAGGAGUCUAACAUGCAUGCGAGUGUUUGGGUGGAAAACCCUUACGCGUAAUGAAAGUGAAAGUUGAGAUCCCUGUCGCGGGGAGCAUCGACGCCCGGACCAGAACUU
This 719-nucleotide ribosomal RNA is filed under the name Amanita sp. 'SAfr02'. Its description in RNAcentral is "Amanita sp. 'sp-SAfr02' partial 28S ribosomal RNA". It matches the Rfam family "Eukaryotic large subunit ribosomal RNA", at positions 73 to 778 of the family's 3401-position model. Lineage: Eukaryota; Fungi; Basidiomycota; Agaricomycetes; Agaricales; Amanitaceae. The record is from RNAcentral.